This is a long non-coding RNA of Zophobas morio, 477 nucleotides long. RefSeq lists it as uncharacterized. The transcript has 4 exons. The record is from RefSeq and is a predicted model, not a curated record. NCBI's taxonomy places the organism in Eukaryota, Metazoa, Arthropoda, Insecta, Coleoptera, Tenebrionidae.
UAUCAUUGUAUGUUUGGACAUUUUGCUCUAACUGGAGCAAUUUGUGCGGUCCUGGAAAAACAAAUUGUGGAUGGUUACAAUGUAUAUGCAGCUGUUGUUCAUUUUGCUGGAUGGAUUUUGGCACUUCUUUUAGGAUGCGUUGGAGGACAACACCUUCUGGAUGCAAGCGAGAUUAUACCAGGAGCUAUAUGGAGUUCAAAUUGGUACAUGAUGCCCGCAAAAGUACAGAAAGAUGUACUUUUUAUGCUUGUAAACUCGCAAAACAAGUUUUUCAUCAGAACCGGCCCGUUUGGUAUACUGUGUUUACCACUUUUUGUUUCGGUGCUAAAAGCAUCAUAUUCAAUUCUUUGUAUGUUUUGAUGGACAUUACCAGUGUAUGGAGUGUGAUAUUUGGUAGAUAAUACUUAUAAUUUACAAAAAUGUGAUAUUAUAAAAUUGCUAACAGGUGAACAGAAUAAGCCACCAAAGCACCUAAAA